RNAcentral lists this long non-coding RNA (1776 nucleotides) under Heterocephalus glaber (naked mole-rat). RNAcentral describes it as "lncRNA (ENSHGLG00000034413.1)". The record is from RNAcentral. Lineage: Eukaryota; Metazoa; Chordata; Mammalia; Rodentia; Bathyergidae.
AACAGACGUGCGCCACGACUGCCGGUUGGCAAGCAUUUUAUUUAACGUAAAAAAAAAUCCACCACAUAGAAGAGGCUUCAGGGACACAGCCACGCGCGCCCCCGCCCACCGCGCGGCCCCGCCCACCGCACUUUUUCGUUGUGGCCGGGCGGGGGCGCGCGGGCUUCGUCAGCCGGCGCGUUCCCAGAGGCCCCCGUGCGCGCAUGCGCUACGCGCAGUGCCUGGAAGCCGGGGCGGCCGGUGUCCGGCUGUCGCCGUCGUGGGUCAGGUACGACGCGGGAGAGGGGGUUGCCCAAGUCCUCAGCUUAGGAGCCCUGGCGGACGCCGCGGGACCGGCCGCACCCGGCGGGGACCCCCACACACGGGUGCCCGCUGUGGAUCCCGAGUCGCGCAGACCGCGAGGGGAGAUAUCUGCCAGCCAGCUUCUGUGCAAGACAUCUGCUGCUGUGUUUCAGUAGUGUGAGCCUCUUCCAGGUCAAGAAGUUAUUUAAAACUAUGAGUGUCCCUUGUUUUUUGCUCGAACUUGAUCAAGCAGGUGUGUAAAGGGGGUGCUGAGAUCAAAAGUUUGACAACUCCUGUUCUAAUGCAAGUAGGAAGAGGAUUAACGAUGCACUUCUGAAUUCUGUAUGAUUCAUUUGUAAAAAUAGAAGUCCACCAUCCCAUAUGCAGCGUGGCCAGGUCACAUGGGAGGGGUAUCCGACCUGCUCCCUGUGUCCAAGGACCCUGUCAUUACGGAGCUGGAGUCGCUGAUGCCGCUUAUAGAAGUGCCUGGAGCUCAUCAAAUGGACCGGCUCGCGGGAGGUCCCAGGCCGACACUCCACUGGGUGUUCUGCGAUGAUUGAUAGCUUUGAACCUUGAGGUGGUGGAGACAGCGCGGCACAUGGGAGAAAGGUGAGGCUAUCAGGGUGCGCUUCCCAGCACCGUGUCCCUCCGAGUCUCUCGCUACUGGGGUUGUCCCCAGGGCAGGCGACACAGCAGCAAACUGAGGCGGACUCAGGGAAAGGAACAGCCCCUCUCCCAGCCUGAGUGAGCCCCCGAUCCACAGUCCAGGCCUGGCACCCGGCCAGAAGCGAGGCUUCUUUGCACCUGCCAUGCUCCGCACAUGGGCGCAGUGGCCGCCGAGAGAGAGUGUGCACUCGGACUCGGGGCUGUGGCUGCGCUGUACCUGUCAGACCUCGGGCGCCCCGUCACCGCCACAGCCAGUGCGUGCCUGGGUGUGCGCGCGCGCCUGCUCCAGACGCCGCCAUUCAGCCACCGUGGAGGGGAGUCCAUGCCACACACCUUCUCCGAAGCCACCCCUGCUUCAGACAAAAAAGCAUCGCCACGACCAGCUUGGUAUGGCAGGAUAAAGCUCUGUUUAACUGACAUUCUAGUCAACUUUGGAUGUGUUUUCCUUCCAAAUACACAGAGCAAAUACUCAAAUACGCACAAGUGACAAGUCCUGCUUCGCGUGAGCUCUGAGAUGAUGUGGGAUCUUUGUCCCUCGGAGCUGCGGUUUCCUCGUCUGUACCACGGAGCCUAAUGAGGACACGCAGAAGACACCCAGUGCAGUUCCUGACGCAUGGUCAUUGUGCGAUGGCAGCUGCUGACCUGGACACUGUGCAGCGGUUAACAGUGAUUCAGUGGCAGUUUCAAUAGCAUGACUACAUUUUCUAUACUGUAGCGUUUCAUGAAAAAAAGCAACGCAUUGAAAAUAAUUUUUGUAAAACAAUUGCACCUUGUUUUUAAAAGCCUAGGAAAAAAGCUUGGAAAAUAGAUAAAAUAUGUAAAUUUGCA